This 109-nucleotide small nuclear RNA is filed under the name Balaenoptera musculus (blue whale). Lineage: Eukaryota; Metazoa; Chordata; Mammalia; Artiodactyla; Balaenopteridae. The record is from RNAcentral.
GUGCACUUACCUCAGCAGCACAUAUACUAAAAUUGGAAUGAUGUAGAGAAGAUUAGCGUGGCCCCUGUGCAGGGGUGACAUGCAAAUUUGAGGAGCGUUCUAUAUUUUU